Carassius auratus (goldfish) is the source of this 1256-nucleotide long non-coding RNA. RefSeq lists it as uncharacterized. Lineage: Eukaryota; Metazoa; Chordata; Actinopteri; Cypriniformes; Cyprinidae. The transcript has 3 exons. The record is from RefSeq and is a predicted model, not a curated record.
GUGGUUGACGAACAUGGAAAUGUGGAUAAGACGAAGGUAGUAUAUCAGGAACCCCAGAAGUUAAUCCUCAAACAAAACACGGAUGACGUCAAAGGGGUCACAUACCGAAAGGACUGUCAACAGCAUGCAUACACUGCAAGAUGUUGUGGUAUGUUGGUUUCAUUUGAUAUAAUGGCUAUAAUGUUUUUAUUUCAUGAGUUGUCACAUUCAGCACAUUCCGCACUGCAACACAUCCAAGCAAUGUUUUACGGAUCGUGAAAUGGAGAAUCAAAAUCCACCGGAUUUGAAGUUGAGAAAAUAGUGACAUCACAAUUCUCAUCGAAACGUCCCUUUACAUGCUUCAUUAAUCAUGUGUAACCAUAGAGGUGUGUUCUAAAAUAACUCAUCUCCGUCUAUUAAACACAAACACUAUACUGCUGUUGGAUAAAGACAUGGAAGAAACUGCACUUUCAGACACUGCAUUUGUUUUGACUGUCGCUUCCAGCUAAAAUACUAAAAUACUCCAUAAAAAUGCUUUGUGUAUAUAUAUAUAUACAGUAUACAUAAAUACCUUGCUAUGUGUACUGAGACUUGUCAUGUGCACUUACAUAUUCUUGCUCUUUUGUUAGUUUUGUUAUUACUCAAGUGUUACAUUGUAAGCCCGCAGGAACCACUAAGUGAUCUUGGCCAUUUUUUAAAGUGAAAAACAAGUCAGUAUUUACUCUAACAUUAUCUUGUCAGCUCGCAAGAAAUACUAGUGAUCUGGAUUGUUAUUUUAAAGUGAAUACACAGUGGAAUGCAUUGCUGUUUUGCUGUUGUUUAUUUUUGGGAAACUCCCAAGGCACAAACCUGCCCCACCCUAUCCACGAACGUUAAAAAAAAACUCUAGUGACAAUCUAGUGACACUGAGUCAUCAUGAAUCUUUCACAAUUUCAGUGAUUUGGUUGAAUCAGCGCGGAUUGUAUGUGUGAGUAAUUACUGAUCAACAUUCUGAUACAAUUCAUUUGCCCUGAUAAAUGGUAUUACAGUAUUAUGGCAAUCGUAAUGUUUGGAUUGAAUUAGUAAGUGUGCUUAUGUAAAAGUGAGGUUUUAUAUCUGAGUAAACAAUAACAAUGUUUGUUUUGCAUUCCAGAUCCUUGUAAUGCUUUGGAAAAGCCCAGAACCACUCCAGCCACUCAAGCACCUGGUGAUCAACGCAUUAUCUAUAUCACUGGUGGUGUCAUCUUCAUCUUCAUCAUCAUUACAUGUGUUAUCUGUCUCAGAAGAAAGUGUCAAUC